Molecule: ribosomal RNA, 77 nt
Filed under: Arthrobacter cupressi
Lineage: Bacteria; Bacillati; Actinomycetota; Actinomycetes; Micrococcales; Micrococcaceae
Description: partial 16S ribosomal RNA
Rfam family: Bacterial small subunit ribosomal RNA
Source: RNAcentral
UUUUUGACGGAGAGUUUGAUCCUGGCUCAGGAUGAACGCUGGCGGCGUGCUUAACACAUGCAAGUCGAACGAUGAAG